This is a long non-coding RNA of Cyprinus carpio (common carp), 261 nucleotides long. RefSeq lists it as uncharacterized. NCBI's taxonomy places the organism in Eukaryota, Metazoa, Chordata, Actinopteri, Cypriniformes, Cyprinidae. The transcript has 3 exons. The record is from RefSeq and is a predicted model, not a curated record.
AAGAACAGGAACGUUCAGCUGACUGUGGAGCUGCUGGACACAGAGGAGGAGAACUCAGACGGGCCAAUGGAGAUCGAGUGCUGGUCGGAUUACGUUGUGCGGUAUCUGUCGGCUGAUUUCACCAUCUCCAGACCUGAGGGAUCAUCUGUCUCAAAAGCCUGUGUUUCUGCCAAGGAACCUGCGGCGGAUCCGUAAGUGUCAGCGUGGCUGUGAGUCUCAGGAGGACGCGGCGAAGGACAGAGGCAGAAAAGAGAAUGCAGU